This 69-nucleotide transfer RNA is filed under the name Tragelaphus scriptus (bushbuck). RNAcentral's name for it is "tRNA-Gly". It matches the Rfam family "tRNA". From Rfam's summary of the family: Transfer RNA (tRNA) molecules are approximately 80 nucleotides in length. The record is from RNAcentral. Lineage: Eukaryota; Metazoa; Chordata; Mammalia; Artiodactyla; Bovidae.
AUUCUUUUANUAUNAAUAAGUACAACUGACUUCCAAUCAGUUAGUUUUGGUCUAACCCAAAAAAGAAUA